RNAcentral lists this ribosomal RNA (497 nucleotides) under uncultured bacterium. RNAcentral's name for it is "partial 16S ribosomal RNA". It matches the Rfam family "Bacterial small subunit ribosomal RNA", at positions 28 to 507 of the family's 1533-position model. The record is from RNAcentral.
GAUGAACGCUGGCGGCGUGCCUAAUACAUGCAAGUCGAGCGAACGGACGAGACUCUUGCCUCUCUGAUGUUAGCGGCGGGCGAGUGAGUAACACGUGUAUAACCUACCUAUAAGGCUGGGAUAACUUCGGGAAACCGUAUCUAAUACCGGAUAAUAUUUUGAACCGCAUGGUUCAAAAGUGAAAGACGGUCUUGCUGUCACUUAUAGAUGGUUCCGCGCUGCAUUAGCUAGUUGGUAAGGUAACGGCUUACCAAGGCAACGAUGCAUAGCCGACCUGAGAGGGUGAUCGGCCACACUGGAACUGAGACACGGUCCAGACUCCUACGGGAGGCAGCAGUAGGGAAUCUUCCGCAAUGGGCGAAAGCCUGACGCAGCAACGCCGCGUGAGUGAUGAAGGUCUUCGGAUCGUAAAACUCUGUUAGUAGGGAAGAACAGAUGUGUAAGUAAAUGUGCACAUCUUGACGGUACCUAAUGAGAAAGCAACGGCUAACUACGUG